Molecule: long non-coding RNA, 432 nt
Filed under: Brassica napus (rape)
Lineage: Eukaryota; Viridiplantae; Streptophyta; Magnoliopsida; Brassicales; Brassicaceae
Description: long non-coding RNA (BNAP_LNC005237)
Source: RNAcentral
AUCCUAAGAACUUUAACUCCUUCUCUUUGAAAUCUACAAGGGAUUUUUUCAGAACCUCAAAAUAUUUCUUAGCUCCUAACAACUUUGCUAGCCCCUUUUUCUUUUUUUUCUUUUUCUUUUCUCUAUUUUUUUUCGUUUUUUUUUUUAGGUUGGGGGCCAAGACUUUCAAAACUUGAGCUAGAGGCUUCUCUACUUAUCCCAAUAAAACAAUUCACUUAAGCACAAAGAGUCUAUUCUUUUUCUUUUUCAUUUCUCCCAAAUCAUAAUCACAACACUCACCCCCCACCUAUAGCUAGACAAUAGAGUGCCCAAUCUAGCAAGAAUUAAGAUCAAGCAUUGUCGUUCCCGAUACUCUCAACAUUAUGCACAUGUAAGACUUUCCGAAAAAGGCCUCACUCAUCAAACAAUGAAAGCUUAAAAGGAGGGAAAGGU